UUAAUUUUCAUUGAUUGAUUCAUUAUUAUUUUAGAAGGAAUUUAUAUCGAAUUUAUUGACUCAUUUAAAUCUUAAAAGUCUAUAAAGUACUUCAAAAUCUCAAAAGUCUGUGUCAUAAAGUCUAACAAAUUCUUGUGUUAAAAAUCUUGAUUGAAAAAAUCAUUCAAAAAAGUCUUCUAAAAUCUCAUAAAAUCAAUACAAUCUCACAAAGUCUUUUAAAAUCUUCAAGAUUUUUUUUGCUAAAAUUGUCUUGUGAAAUCUUAAUCCAAUACACCCCCUUA
This 281-nucleotide long non-coding RNA is filed under the name Trifolium pratense (red clover). RNAcentral's name for it is "long non-coding RNA (TPRA_LNC013953)". Lineage: Eukaryota; Viridiplantae; Streptophyta; Magnoliopsida; Fabales; Fabaceae. The record is from RNAcentral.